GACGAACGCUGGCGGCGUGCUUAACACAUGCAAGUCGAACGGAAAGGCCCUGCUUUUGUGGGGUGCUCGAGUGGCGAACGGGUGAGUCACACGUGAGUAACCUGCCCUUGACUUUGGGAUACCUUCAGGAAACUGGGGCUAAUCCCGGAUAGGCGCUCCUGCUGCAUGGUGGGGGUUGGAUAGUUUCGGCGGUUGGGGAUGGACUCGCGGCUUAUCUGCUUGUUGGUGGGUUAGUGGCUUACCAAGGCGUUGACGGGUAGCCGGCCUGAGAGGGUGACCGGCAACAUUGGGACGGGAAUACGGCCAGGACUCCUACGGGAGGAAGCAGUGGGGAAUAUGGCACAAUGGGCGGAAGCCUGAUGCAGCAACGCCGCGUGCGGGAUGACGGCCUUCGGGUUGUAAACCGCUUUCGCCUGUGACGAAGCGUGAGUGACGGUAAUGGGUAAAGAAGCACCGGCUAACUACGUG
This 468-nucleotide ribosomal RNA is filed under the name uncultured bacterium. RNAcentral describes it as "partial 16S ribosomal RNA". It matches the Rfam family "Bacterial small subunit ribosomal RNA", at positions 28 to 507 of the family's 1533-position model. The record is from RNAcentral.